GGCCGAUUGGGAGCUCUGUGCUUUCAAACCGUCUUCGGACAAUUUCUGACAACUUGACCUCAAAUCGAGUAGGACUACCCGCUGAACUUAAGCAUAUCAAUAAGCGGAGGAAAAGAAACUAACAAGGAUUCCCCUAGUAACGGCGAGUGAAGAGGGAAGAGCUCAAAUUUUAAAUCUGGCGUCUUUGGCGUCCGAAUUGUAAUCUAGAGAAGUGUUUUCCGUGACGGACCGUGCACAAGUCUCCUGGAAUGGAGCGUCAUAGAGGGUGAGAAUCCCGUAUAUGGCAUGGACUGCCGUUGCUCUGUGAUACACUCUCGACGAGUCGAGUUGUUUGGGAAUGCAGCUCUAAAUGGGUGGUAAAUGCCAUCUAAAGCUAAAUAUUGGCGAGAGACCGAUAGCGAACAAGUACCGUGAGGGAAAGAUGAAAAGCACUUUGGAAAGAGAGUGAAACAGUACGUGAAAUUGUUGAAAGGGAAACGCUUGAAGUCAGUCGCGCCGUUCAGGAUUCAGCCUUGCUUUUGCUCGGUCUACUUCCUGUUGGGUGGGUCAACAUCAGUUUUGGUCGGAGGAGAAAGGCUUGGGGAAUGUGGCAGCAUUCGUGCUGUGUUAUAGCCCCUUGUUGUAUACUUCGGCUGGGACUGAGGACCGCAGCACGCCUUUGGCCGGGGUUCGCCCACGUACGUGCUUAGGAUGUUGGCAUAAUGGCUUUAAGCGACCCGUCUUGAAACAYGGACCAAGGAGUCUAACAUGUGCGCGAGUGUUUGGGUGUUAAACUCGGACGCGAAAUGAAAGUGAAAAGUUGGGAACACUUAUGUGUGCACCGACGCCCGGAGCUGACCUUUUGUGACGCAUCUGCGGUGGAGCGUAUAUGUUGGGACCCGAAAGAUGGUGAACUAUGCCUGAAUAGGGUGAAGCCAGAGGAAACUCUGGUGGAGGCUCGUAGCGAUUCUGACGUGCAAAUCGAUCGUCAAAU
Molecule: ribosomal RNA, 973 nt
Filed under: Sebacina dimitica
Lineage: Eukaryota; Fungi; Basidiomycota; Agaricomycetes; Sebacinales; Sebacinaceae
Description: eukaryotic LSU rRNA
Rfam family: Eukaryotic large subunit ribosomal RNA
Source: RNAcentral